GACGAACGCUGGCGGCGUGCUUAACACAUGCAAGUCGAACGGAAAGGCCCUGCUUUUGUGGGGUGCUCGAGUGGCGAACGGGUGAGUAACACGUGAGUAACCUGCCCUUGACUUUGGGAUAACUUCAGGUAACUGGGGCUAAUACCGGAUAGGAGCUCCUGCUGCAUGGUGGGGGUUGGAAAGUUUCGGCGGUUGGGGAUGGACUUGCGGCUUAGCAGCUUGUUGGUGGGGGAGUGGCUUACCAAGGCUUUGACGGGUAGCCGGCCGGGGGGGGUGACCGGCCCAAUGGGGCCGGGGGAGCGGCCAGGGCGCACUGGGGGGGAAAGGGUGGGAAAUAUUUCCAAAGGGGCGGAAGCCUAAUGGAGCACCGCCGGGUGGGGGAUUGCGGCCUUCGGGUUGGAAACCGUUUUGGCCUUUAACGAGGGGUGGGGACGGUAAAGGGGGAAAAAGGCCCGGGUUAACUCGGG
Molecule: ribosomal RNA, 467 nt
Filed under: uncultured bacterium
Lineage: Bacteria
Description: partial 16S ribosomal RNA
Rfam family: Bacterial small subunit ribosomal RNA
Source: RNAcentral